This 253-nucleotide ribosomal RNA is filed under the name uncultured bacterium. RNAcentral's name for it is "partial 16S ribosomal RNA". It matches the Rfam family "Bacterial small subunit ribosomal RNA", at positions 524 to 776 of the family's 1533-position model. The record is from RNAcentral.
UACGUAGGGGGCGAGCGUUGUCCGGAGUUACUGGGCGUAAAGGGCAUGCAGGCGGUCGGACGCGUUUCCAGUGACAGCGGGUGGCUUCACUACCCGAGUAUUGGAAAGACGGUUGGACUUGAGGACUCGAGAGGGACACGGAAUUCCGGGUGGAGUGGUGAAAUGCGUAGAGAUCCGGAGGAACAUCGAAGGCGAAGGCAGUGUCCUGGCGAGUAACUGACGCUGAGGUGCGAAAGCUAGGGGAGCGAACGGG